GCCGGGCGCGGUGGCUCACGCCUGUAAUCCCAGCACUUUUGGAGGCUGAGACGGGUGGAUCACUUGAGGUCAGGAGUUCAAGACAAGCCUGGCCAACAUGGUGAAACCCCGUCUCUA
RNAcentral lists this non-coding RNA (117 nucleotides) under Gorilla gorilla gorilla (western lowland gorilla). Lineage: Eukaryota; Metazoa; Chordata; Mammalia; Primates; Hominidae. The record is from Rfam by way of RNAcentral.